GUGAAUCAUCAAAUCUUUGAACGCAAAUUGCACUCUCUUCGGAGAGUAUGACUGUUUGAGGGUCAGUAUUAAUAAAAUUCGGUGUGUUGCUUCUUUGUGACGCUCCGCAGUUUGGGUCAUCUUAAUAUCCUUUAGGUUUUAAGUGGCUUAAAGUUGACUUUUUUUGCAAUUUUUAGAUGUACUGGAAUUCUUUUUUUUAUUCGUCUGCAUUAAUGCUCAAACUCCUAUUUGAUGCGACCAUUGCGUGUGAUUUAGUGUCUAUA
Molecule: unclassified non-coding RNA, 263 nt
Filed under: Glomeraceae sp.
Lineage: Eukaryota; Fungi; Glomeromycota; Glomeromycetes; Glomerales; Glomeraceae
Description: partial contains 5.8S ribosomal RNA and internal transcribed spacer 2
Rfam family: 5.8S ribosomal RNA (bases 1-65)
Source: RNAcentral